GAUGAACGCUGGCGGCGUGCUUAACACAUGCAAGUCGAACGGAAAGGCCCAAGCUUGCUUGGGUACUCGAGUGGCGAACGGGUGAGUAACACGUGGGUGAUCUGCCCUGCACUUCGGGAUAAGCCUGGGAAACUGGGUCUAAUACCGGAUAGGGCCACAUUUUGGAUGGUGUGGUGGAAAGUUUUUCGGUGUGGGAUGAGCUCGCGGCCUAUCAGCUUGUUGGUGGGGUAAUGGCCUACCAAGGCGUCGACGGGUAGCCGGCCUGAGAGGGUGUACGGCCACAUUGGGACUGAGAUACGGCCCAGACUCCUACGGGGGGCAGCAGUGGGGAAUAUUGCACAAUGGGCGCAAGCCUGAUGCAGCGACGCCGCGUGGGGGAUGACGGCCUUCGGGUUGUAAACUCCUUUCGCUAGGGACGAAGCGUUUUUGUGACGGUACCUGGAGAAGAAGCACCGGCUAACUACGUG
Molecule: ribosomal RNA, 467 nt
Filed under: uncultured bacterium
Lineage: Bacteria
Description: partial 16S ribosomal RNA
Rfam family: Bacterial small subunit ribosomal RNA
Source: RNAcentral